This is a long non-coding RNA of Conger conger (European conger), 2280 nucleotides long. RefSeq lists it as uncharacterized. NCBI's taxonomy places the organism in Eukaryota, Metazoa, Chordata, Actinopteri, Anguilliformes, Congridae. The record is from RefSeq and is a predicted model, not a curated record. The transcript has 3 exons.
AAGGGAGUCUCAGUAUCAGUGAGCCCCUCUGGUGAAAUAGAGGAGGGCAGUUCAGUGACUCUGACCUGCAGCAGCGAUGCCAACCCACCAGUGCAGAGAUACACCUGGUUUAAGGAGAAUGGAGCUGGAGUCUGGCAGGCAGGAUCAGGACAAAGUCUGACCUUUUCUACCGUUAGCUCCUGGAACAGUGGACAGUACUACUGUGAGGCAAAGAACACCCACGGAGCCCAGAACUCUACUGCUCUACUGCUCACAUUGCAAGAUCACAUGUGGAUCCUACACUAGGAUGUAGUGCGGAUGAGUGAAGCCAGAAGAGUUGAUCAGUGGAGGAAACACACAGCACUUCUCUGAGUCCUAGUAUCACUGACCACAGUGGUCAUCAUCUCAACAAGAAGGGAAUUGGACAGAACUUGUGUGUGCAGUUGUUGGAAGCAUAGUGACUCUUGCACUCAUAGCUGUUAUUGUGUGGACGAGGUAAGUGUUCACAAUGUGAAAACAUCUGGAAAUCAAUCAUCAGUCGGAAGACAUAUAAUUAAAAGUUCACAUCAAACAGAGAGAUUUAUAGUGAUUUUACAGAUUCACUGUUUAGUCGGUCGGAAUGUUAUAGCAAGACACCAUCUUGAAUAGCAGUUACUCCCUCAACCCUUUUAUAGUCUGCAAUCUGUUAAAAUUAGAAUUAUAAUUGCAUUCCUGGUUCACUGGUUCUUAAGUGAUUCUGUGAUGUAUGACUCAGUUCUGGGAGACGUGCGAGUGGGCGUGGAAAGCAAGGGGUUGUGUGGCCACUCAGAUGUAGGGGCCGUGGUUAGGUGGCCAGAUCAAAAGAGCCAGGAUAGUUAGAUUAACAGCUGUACCUUUGUAAAAGCGCCAUGGGAACUUUACUGACAGUGAAUCAAGACCUCAUUUUAACAUCCCAGCUGAAGAGCAGCACUUUCGCAGUGCCCAUCACUAACAAGGCGCACUGGAUUUAAUAAGGUUCGGAUCAAAGAGUGCCCUGUACUGGCUCACCAACACACCUUCAAGCAGCGGCCAUUUUCUGUCAAACUGUGCCAUGAACGAGUAUUUGCCCCCUUCCUGAUUUCCUCUGUUAUUGCAUAUUUCUCACAUUGAAUUGUUUCUGAUCUUUAGAUGGGCUGUAAUAUGAGACAAAGGGAACCUAAGUAAACACAAAACACAAACUGCUACACACACACACACACACCUAUAACACCAUUACUGCCCAUGCUUACCAUAUAACCCUGCUACGCACACGCUCUUAUAACACCGUUAUACACUGACGGUAUAUAACCCUGCUACACACACACUCUUAUAACACUGUUAUACACUGACGGUAUAUAACCCUGCUCCACACACACUCCUUUAACACCGUUACACACUUACAGUAUAACCCUGCUGCACACACACUCCUACAACACCUUUACACACUUACUGUAUAACCCUGCUACACACACACUCCUACAACACCGUUACACACUUACUGUAUAACCCUACUACACACACACUCCUAUAACACCAUUACGCACUUACAGUAUAACCAUGCGACGCACACACUCAUAUAACACCCUUACACACUUACAGUAUAACUCUGCUGCACACACACUCCUACAACACCUUUACACACUUACUGUAUAACCCUGCUACACACACACUCCUACAACACCGUUACACACUUACUGUAUAACCCUGCUGCACACACACUCCUAUAACACCAUCACGCACUUACAGUAUAACCAUGCGAAGCACACACUCCUAUAACACUGUUACGCACUUACAGUAUAACCCUGCUGCACACACACUCCUAUAACACCAUCACACACUUACAGUAUAACCAUGCUAAGCACACACUCCUAUAACACUGUUACACUGACAGUAACAGUGCUACACACACACACACACUCAUAACUCAUGUACAUGCACUUGUUCUCUCUCAUUGUAAGGGAAGCUGUUCUGUGUAAGCACAUCUGCAAAAUGAAUGCAGUGUGCUGAAUAUGAUGUAGGCACUGUGAAGUUCAGGUUGUGUCAUGGUUCACAUGUAAUAACAUAAUAUUUAGUAUAUGUAAUGAUGUAUUAUAGUUUAUUUUAGCAUCUUUCAACACACUGUUUGAAGUCUUCAUUUUACAUUGCUUUGUUUUAUUGGCUUUACAUUGCUUUGUUGUUUAUUGGCUCAGAUUUGACCAAUUUUAGAUAAAAUGUUGAUCUUUUUAGUUUUUAACUUUAAAUAUGUUGCUUUAUAGUGCAUAUUGAUGAAUUAUGGUUUGUCUAGGCAUUGUAAAGAACUGUAAA